AGUGAACGCCGGCGGUAGGCCUAACACAUGCAAGUCGAACGGCAGCACAGGAGAGCUUGCUCUCUGGGUGGCGAGUGGCGGACGGGUGAGGAAUACAUCGGAAUCUACUUUUUCGUGGGGGAUAACGUAGGGAAACUUACGCUAAUACCGCAUACGACCUACGGGUGAAAGCAGGGGAUCUUCGGACCUUGCGCGAUUGAAUGAGCCGAUGUCGGAUUAGCUAGUUGGCGGGGUAAAGGCCCACCAAGGCGACGAUCCGUAGCUGGUCUGAGAGGUGGAUCAGCCGAACUGGAACAAUGACAUGUCCCAGCCGACUACGGGAGGCAGCAGUGGGGAAUAUUGGACAAUGGGGGCUAGCCUGAUCCAGCCAGACCGCGUGGGUGAAGAAGGCCUUCGGGUUGAAAAGCCCUUUUGUCGGGAAAGAAAUCCAGCUGGGUAAUACCCGGUUGGGAUGACGGUACCCAAAGAAUAAGCACCGGCUAACUUCGUGCCAGCCGCCGCCGUAA
RNAcentral lists this ribosomal RNA (506 nucleotides) under uncultured bacterium. RNAcentral's name for it is "partial 16S ribosomal RNA". It matches the Rfam family "Bacterial small subunit ribosomal RNA", at positions 29 to 523 of the family's 1533-position model. The record is from RNAcentral.